AGCUGGUGCAGCCAGGAUACCCAGCAGAGAUCAGCAACAGCAGGAGAGGUAGGGCCUUUGGAUCCCUUCAAAAGGGCCUCCCCAAGGAGACACAACUGUGGAUGGCUGGAGUACAAUAACAUGAUCUUGACUCAUUGCAACAUUUGCCUCCCUGGUUCAAGCAGUUCCUCAGCCUCUGGAGUAGCUGGGAUUACAGCCGCCAUGUUAAGAUGCCCAAGCUAAGCCACGUGGAAGGCAUGGAAGGAGAGGUCACAGCUUUUGGCCAUCCUGGUGCCACACAUGUGAAUGAGGCCAACUUGGACAUUCAUCCCAGCUUCAAUCUGACCACAGCCUCAUGAGAUACACCUGUGAGAUCCAGGCGACACACCCAGUGAUCACAGUCAACCCACAGAAUGGUGAAAGAGACAAGGUUUCAUCAUGUUGGCCAGGCUGAUCUCAAACUCCUGAUCUCGAGUGAUUCACCCAUUUUGGCCUCCCAAAGUGCUAGGAUUAUAGGCAUAAGCCACCUUGCCUGGCCCACUGCAACAUUUUAUGGAGAAGUAUCUGA
Molecule: non-coding RNA, 547 nt
Organism: Callithrix jacchus (white-tufted-ear marmoset)
Lineage: Eukaryota; Metazoa; Chordata; Mammalia; Primates; Cebidae
Source: RefSeq, a predicted model, not a curated record